GAUGAACGCUGGCGGCGUGCCUAAUACAUGCAAGUCGAGCGAACAGAUAAGGAGCUUGCUCCUUUGACGUUAGCGGCGGACGGGUGAGUAACACGUGGGUAACCUACCUAUAAGACUGGGAUAACUUCGGGAAACCGGAGCUAAUACCGGAUAACAUUUGGAACCGCAUGGUUCUAAAGUGAAAGAUGGUUUUGCUAUCACUUAUAGAUGGACCCGCGCCGUAUUAGCUAGUUGGUAAGGUAACGGCUUACCAAGGCGACGAUACGUAGCCGACCUGAGAGGGUGAUCGGCCACACUGGAACUGAGACACGGUCCAGACUCCUACGGGAGGCUGCAGUAGGGAAUCUUCCGCAAUGGGCGAAAGCCUGACGGAGCAACGCCGCGUGAGUGAUGAAGGGUUUCGGCUCGUAAAACUCUGUUAUUAGGGAAGAACAAACGUGUAAGUAACUGUGCACGUCUUGACGGUACCUAAUCAGAAAGCCACGGCUAACUACGUG
RNAcentral lists this ribosomal RNA (497 nucleotides) under uncultured bacterium. RNAcentral's name for it is "partial 16S ribosomal RNA". It matches the Rfam family "Bacterial small subunit ribosomal RNA", at positions 28 to 507 of the family's 1533-position model. The record is from RNAcentral.